RNAcentral lists this long non-coding RNA (1443 nucleotides) under Triticum aestivum (bread wheat). RNAcentral describes it as "long non-coding RNA (TAES_LNC006142)". The record is from RNAcentral. Lineage: Eukaryota; Viridiplantae; Streptophyta; Magnoliopsida; Poales; Poaceae.
AAUUAUACCAUGACCAGAAAUAUUCUCUCAUGACUUAGACAGAGUAGCAACAUCGGCAAACAACAUUAAUUAAAUCGGAUUAUUGAUAUGCCAAGAAUAUUGUACCUCUAUGUGAGGCUUGCCCGGCACCAAGAUUAUCUUCAUGUUCAUGUAGUGUUAGUUAAUAUUUGCCAAACCUGGAGCACACCGCCUAAAAACAUGAUGGCACAUUUAAGGUUUUUAAUCCUCAAUGUCAAUCAACUAAAACAAAACUUUUCAUACCUAGCGCAUGCUCACAUAACUUCAUACGAAUGCCCACAUAACCAACAUACCUUGUGAAACCUUUACAUUAGUACAUGAGCAGAAGAAAUGUGUAAGAAAGAUCAAAAACUGUACCUUGUCUUAGGUGAGAGGGGACAGUCCCUUGAACUCUUAGCACGAAGGCACUGCGUUGGACGGGGUGAGGUGGGGAGGGGAGCCACGUGGUGGCCGAAAUGAGGUUGGAUGGGGUCGAAGUUCACCAGGCUGCUCGGCCUAAACGUCAAGCAGUAUGAAAAAACGUGGAUUUCUCACCUUAGGUGUCCUUGAGGAGCUCGGUGGCUGGAGGAUCUCCAUUAUUCAACUGUCUCUAAGCGCAACCGGGUUCGCCUCCCGAUCACGGUCAUAUGUAGAUUGAGAUCGAUCUCAAAACUUGUCAACAUAAGUCGCAGCAGAAAGGACGGUACAACGCCAUCGUACUUGAGGGCGUUGGGUCCUCGGUGUCCUCGGUCUUCUCGGCCAUGGGCGAUGCCGCCGGCGGGCACGGCGGUGGGCUCCUGCCUGCAACAGCCCUCGGCGAGGCGGAAAUAGGGAGAUUGUGACACAAUUCAAUAGGUAUUUAAAAUAGAGAAGCAUUUCAGAGUAGCUAAAAAAAGUACCAAUUGCUAUUGUUAAUAGAUUGUUAUACUGGUGAUAUUCCUGAACCAACCUAUGAUAUUGUUAUUAUGUAUCUUUUUUCAUUCCAAAAAAGUUUAGGUGCUUGUUUUUGUUAUGUCUUUGAUAUCUCCACAAUGAUGGGUUUAUUUUUUUUUACAAUAUGACCAAAGCAUUGUUGGAGUAUGCAUCAUUUUAUAAUUGCACAAAAAGUAUUGCAUAUAUUAGAAGUUUGAAUUAGAAUUCUAUCAAAGAACCUGGUAAUAGAUGAACAUAAAUUAGGAUAAAAUGGCAGUAAUAAUGUUCAGCAAUAGUUGCAAUUGAAAGAAGAAGAGGCAGAUCGAUAGUGUGCAGGUUUGCAGGUUUACCAAUAACAAUGUUCACCAAUAACUAUUAUCACCAACAAUAGCUGUUUUCUGUUCGUAAUAGGAAUGUUCAGGAAAUUAGAAGUGCAAACUCACCUGCUAACACACACAAGUACACAUGCACAUAUGCUCGCACAUCAACUCUGCCUCUUUGGCGAUACACUUCAGAUUAACCAUGCAUCGUUUC